GACGCUUCCGGGAGGUCUAGGCGGCUGCCGUGAGCCGGUCCGAAACGGCUCUAGGUGCACUGUCCGGCUCCAGCCAGGUCCGCUACGCCUGGAGAGCAUGGAGGCAAGUUCUGCCGGCUCCACCUGCAAAGCAGAGCCCCUUUCCACGACUGUGCAGCACCGCUCGCUCCAGCCCCACCAUACCCGCCUGGACGGAGACCGACCGCAGCCUGGGAGAGCCUCCAAGCCUGGAGGCGGGCGCGCGAGCCCUUUCCAAGGAGAACCCACAGCGGCUUCCCCUCUUGCUCCAGGGGCCUCUAGAUCCCACCCCACCUGGCACCUGCGUCUCUCCCAGAACUCGGCCUGCCCCUACCUUCCCGCCAGCCCCCACCCUGCUGGGGCUACUGGGACCUCCUAGCGGCAUGCAGCGUUCAGGCUCAACCCCCGCUGUGCUCUGCGGUCGCAGCUGCAGCCGCUUCGGUGCUCCAAGACCAGAGAGGAAGCAAAGACAGAGCUUUCCCAGCCAGGCAUCGCUGCUUUGGCCUUGAAGGUGACAAAGAAGACAAGGAAGACAAGGAAGGUGAUCCGGGAGGCUGGAGAGCUUGUCAAGGUCACAGACCCACGGUUUUCCGCCCCCUAGGGUCCAAGCUCUUUCCUGGACAUCUGCAGGCAAUGUCGACACGCCCUCCAGUGUCUGUGGCGGGCAAAGGAUGUGUCUCCACCCCCAGACCUUCCGAUCCUGUGCUGAAAGUGUCCCUCAGCCUGUUUCCUGAGAAGCCCAGGGGCUUUUGGCUUGUUACUUUUUCUUUCUCUUGAAGUAAACAGAAUAAAAGAGAGUUGCUCAGA
Molecule: long non-coding RNA, 825 nt
Filed under: Homo sapiens (human)
Lineage: Eukaryota; Metazoa; Chordata; Mammalia; Primates; Hominidae
Description: PREDICTED lncRNA (TCONS_00082619)
Source: RNAcentral